UGUGUUGAGUAAGGUAGAUAUGUUGCUCUUAAUAAGGUGGGUUCACUCACUACUCAUUAUUGGUUGUCCAAAGAAAGGGAAUUUGGCAAGUAGCCUUAUUCUUUUAUAUUCAUAUUUUGGAAAGAAUUUAUUGAGAAAAAGAUAUUAAUACAAUUUUUCUCUCUUUUUUUUUUCAUUAAUCUUUAUUGGUUAAAAUUUUUGGAUUUUUUUCCCCUAAAAAUAUAAGGUGUUGAAAAUGAUUUCCUUAUUUCAUAUUGAUUAUGAUUUCGAAUAUAGAUUUAAACAUAUUUAAAAUCAAUACAAAAUGUAUUCCAAGUUAACAUAGCUAAUAUUUCAAAAUGCUUUUUAAAAUAGAAAUAAGAAAAUAAAUUGUAUGCAUGACUCUCCAAAGGUAAAGAAUAACAUCGUCACACAUAAUAAGACAGAUACAUGAAGCAGUAGAUAAUCUGUUAUAACAUGUUAAAUUAAGUAUCAGGUUAUGGCAACCAGGCGUCAGGGAACAAUUGAACCCCUAUCCUUUAAAGCCAUCAGACUCUUUGGAUUCUUUUUGCAUACAAGUAGGGAUUUCAAAAACUUUCAGCUGGUCAACUUAUUUCUUCGCUGAAGAAAUACAAAAACGUGUCGCCCACUUUGUAUGAUCUGGCUUGAACCUUUGGGUAAACUCUGCGGGAUCAAUAACCAUAACUGCACAGAGUGCAAUAGAAUUCCUCGGUACGGUUGCUAGGAUAUAGGAAAGGAAUGUAACCAUGGUAACAACUUCCAUGGAUUUAUAUGGUCCAUUCAACAACUUCAUUGCAUCAAAGGGGAUUUAUAUGAUGAUACCAUUGCAAAUUCGCGUCUUCCAGAGGCUUCCUUCCUUCAAGAAUACUCUGGAUAUCGUGCACUCCUGAACAAUUGGAUCCUGGAUAUGCAUGCUUGAGUUCACUCAAUAUGACAUAUUCAGAGUUGUAAGGCCAGGAGGACUCUUCUGCCUGUGAUCACAGUUACUGUAGCUUAUGUUCCUAUGCUGGAGCUGAAGUGGAAUGAAGUAGAUGCAGAGUCUCCAGAUAUGACAAUUUUCUGAAAUUGAGAAAGAUGGCAUGAUUUCUGUAAUUUUAAGCAGUUGACGAAGGGAUACAUGUUGAAUUCACUCGUGAAGUUCUGCAUCCAACUACUCCCACAGGGUUCUGCUCCAUUCCAAUCGGAACGACCAUACCAACAAUUUGUGAGAGACUUUAAAAGCAUCAGCUGUAUAAAAUAUUGAAUCAGUUCUUCUAUACUAGAACACUUAAUUGACCAUAUCUAGAAGAGAGCAGGAAAAUUUUUUAAUGUUCCCUCAAGAUUAUUAAAUAUUUUCCAUAAUCUCUGGAUUAUUUGUUACUUUUUUUAAGAGGCAAGCUCUUCAUAUGAUUACAAAAAGGAAAACUAAGAUAGUACUCACAGACAACCAAAUAUUAGUGUACACUGGUUAAUUGAGAUAGAGAA
Molecule: long non-coding RNA, 1464 nt
Organism: Solanum lycopersicum (tomato)
Lineage: Eukaryota; Viridiplantae; Streptophyta; Magnoliopsida; Solanales; Solanaceae
Source: RefSeq, a predicted model, not a curated record